This 468-nucleotide ribosomal RNA is filed under the name uncultured bacterium. RNAcentral's name for it is "partial 16S ribosomal RNA". It matches the Rfam family "Bacterial small subunit ribosomal RNA", at positions 28 to 507 of the family's 1533-position model. The record is from RNAcentral.
GAUGAACGCUGGCGGCGUGCUUAACACAUGCAAGUCGAACGGAAAGGCCCUGCUUUUGUGGCGUGCUCGAGUGGCGAACGGGUGAGUAACACGUGAGUAACCUACCCUCGACUUUGGGAUAACUUCAGGAAACUGGGGCGAAUACCGGAUAGGAGCACCGGCUGCAUUGGGGGGGUUGGAAAGGUUCGGCGGUGGGGGAUGUACUCGCGGCUUAUAAGCUUGUGGGUGGGGUAGUGGCGUACCAAGUCUAUGUCGGGUAGCCGGCCUGAGAGGGUGACCGGCACCAUUGGGACUGUGAUACAGCCCAGUCUCCUCAGGGAGGGAGCGGUGAGGAAUAUUGUGCAAUGGGAGGAAGCCUGUUGCAGCACCGCCGUGUGCGGGAUAACAACCUUUAGGGUGUAUACCGCUUUCGCCUGUGACGAAGCGUAAGUGACGGUAAUGGGUAAAGAAGCAACGGCUAACUACGUG